Molecule: transfer RNA, 73 nt
Filed under: Stegodyphus mimosarum
Lineage: Eukaryota; Metazoa; Arthropoda; Arachnida; Araneae; Eresidae
Rfam family: tRNA
About the family: Transfer RNA (tRNA) molecules are approximately 80 nucleotides in length.
Source: Rfam by way of RNAcentral
GCCUUCGUGGUGUAGUGGUUAGCACAUUCGAAUGGUAACUGAGAGGUCCGUGGUUCGAUUCCCGGCGAACGCG